UACAGAGGGUGCGAGCGUUAAUCGGAAUUACUGGGCGUAAAGCGCGCGUAGGCGGUUACGUAAGUUGGAUGUGAAAUCCCUGGGCUCAACCUAGGAAUUGCAUACAAAACUGCGUAGCUUGAGUGGAGUAGAGGUGAGUGGAAUUUCCGGAGUAGCGGUGAAAUGCGUAGAUACCGGAAGGAACACCAGUGGCGAAGGCGACUCACUGGACUCUAACUGACGCUGAGGUGCGAAAGCGUGGGUAGCGAACAGG
This 253-nucleotide ribosomal RNA is filed under the name uncultured bacterium. Its description in RNAcentral is "partial 16S ribosomal RNA". It matches the Rfam family "Bacterial small subunit ribosomal RNA", at positions 524 to 776 of the family's 1533-position model. The record is from RNAcentral.